Molecule: long non-coding RNA, 915 nt
Filed under: Oryctolagus cuniculus (rabbit)
Lineage: Eukaryota; Metazoa; Chordata; Mammalia; Lagomorpha; Leporidae
Description: lncRNA (ENSOCUG00000037367.1)
Source: RNAcentral
GCGCUCGGGACCCAGGCAGCUGUGAAUGAACGCCGAUAGCUCCGUGGACCAGGCCGUCUGCGUGGCACUCACGCCCCACUGGGAGCCAGGAUUACUUCGGCACGCUGACAGAGACCAGUUCUGGCUGGUUUCAUCUAAAGAAGAAUUUUUGGAAGAAAACUGGGCAAUUGGAAAAGAAAGCAUGGGUGUGUCUGCAGACCCCACAGUGGGUGAACUUGAGCCUCUCCCCAGUCUCCCCAGUUCUCCAGUUUUUCCCAACUUGGCAUUUGGACUGUCCCAUAAGGUAAGUCAUUGGUUGGAAGAAAGUGUGAUUGGCCCAGAAUUGCUCUGAGGUCUACAGCAAGUCAGGGUGAGUCAACCAACGGCGCAAUGGCAUGGCUGCUCCCAGAGCAGGGAGAGUCACUGCAGGUGGGGUGUCAUGGUCUCCGUCCAUGGCCCUUGUGAUGCACAGUGUGGCCAGGGCUCAGCCUGUUGGAGAAGAGACAGAGUGCUCACUGGAGCCCUAGAGAUCUUACUGUGUCUUCUUCCUCAUUCGACAGGAGGGACCCAGAAGUGCAUGUGCAGAGAGCAAAUAGCUUGGGCCCCCAAAAGUUCCCCUGGAUCUCUUUAUGUUGCCUGGUGACAAGCCAGCUGGGGCCAGCAGAAGGAGCUGUGUACCCCCAACUCCGUCCCCCUGUGGGCUGCCAGGUGCUGGGCAGCUGGCCUUCCCAGGGGCCCAAGCUCAGAGAUUUGCAUCUGAGCCCUCCAUCAGGAGAGGCCUUGGGAGAUGCUGCAAAGAAAUGGGGGCAGGGUCCAGGAGUCACGGUGGGGGACACCACAGCGGGGAGAGACUGCCAUUCUCACCUAGCCCUGCCAGUCGCCUACUGUUUGAUCUUGGGCCAAUCACUUGAACUCUUUGCGUCUUUGUGUCUUCCU